Molecule: ribosomal RNA, 460 nt
Filed under: uncultured bacterium
Lineage: Bacteria
Description: partial 16S ribosomal RNA
Rfam family: Bacterial small subunit ribosomal RNA
Source: RNAcentral
CCUACGGGUGGCAGCAGUGAGGAAUAUUUGUCAAUUGACGAGAGUCUGAACCAGCCAAGUAGCGUGAAGGAUGACUGCCCUAUGGGUUGUAAACUUCUUUUAUAUGGGAAUAAAAUGUUCCACGUGUGGGAUUUUGUAUGUACCAUAUGAAUAAGGAUCGGCUAACUCCGUGCCAGCAGCCGCGGUAAUACGGAGGAUCCGAGCGUUAUCCGGAUUUAUUGGGUUUAAAGGGAGAGUAGGUGGAUUGUUAAGUCAGUUGUGAAAGUUUGCGGCUCAACCGUAAAAUUGCAGUUGAAACUGGCAGUCUUGAGUACAGUAGAGGUGGGCGGAAUGCGUGGUGUAGCGGUGAAAUGCGUAGAUAUCACGAAGAACUCCGAUUGCGAAGGCAGUUCACUGGACUGCAACUGACACUGAGGCUCGAAAGUGUGGGUAUCAAACAGGAUUAGAUACCCGGGUAGUC